ACGCUCGACACCUACGGGAGGCAGCAGUGGGGAAUAUUGGGCAAUGGAGGGCAACUCUGACCCAGCAACGCCGCGUGAGUGAUGAAGGUCUUCGGAUUGUAAAACUCUUUAAGUAGGGACGAAGAAAGUGACGGUACCUACAGAAUAAGCCUCGGCUAACUACGUGCCUGCAGCCGCGGUAAUCUGAGCGGGCUGGCAAGGC
RNAcentral lists this ribosomal RNA (202 nucleotides) under uncultured bacterium. RNAcentral describes it as "partial 16S ribosomal RNA". It matches the Rfam family "Bacterial small subunit ribosomal RNA", at positions 328 to 539 of the family's 1533-position model. The record is from RNAcentral.